RNAcentral lists this non-coding RNA (45 nucleotides) under Schistosoma margrebowiei. Lineage: Eukaryota; Metazoa; Platyhelminthes; Trematoda; Strigeidida; Schistosomatidae. The record is from RNAcentral.
AUCCAGCUGAUGAGUCCCGAAUAGGACUAAACGCGCGUCCUGGAU